Molecule: unclassified non-coding RNA, 381 nt
Filed under: Hevea brasiliensis (rubber tree)
Lineage: Eukaryota; Viridiplantae; Streptophyta; Magnoliopsida; Malpighiales; Euphorbiaceae
Source: RNAcentral
AACCCAUUGACGACGAUCGGGUUUACUGCUUGGUCAAUUUCUCCGUGCAAUUUUGAUCAUCGUCAAUGGGUUACGAAGAUGAUCCGUACCGUGACGAGGAUGGUGAACCAUUGAUGGACUUUGACCACAUACAGUCAGACGGUGAGCAAUCCCCUGAACCGUACAAUCCUGACGAACUAUUAGAUGAGGAUAUUGGUGAUUGGGGUGGGCGACAGCGAUCUCAGACUCCUGUCUAUGAUGCGGAGGAGCCCCAGGCCAGGCCUAGGAAGAGGUUAAUCAAAAAGAGUUUGGCUGGUAAGGAUAGUGUGCCCUCUAAUUUAGUGGAUGAUUAUGACGAUGCGGGGGACUUUACGCCAGACCAGUUUGUGAGGGAGGGUUCGG